Molecule: ribosomal RNA, 450 nt
Filed under: Bacillus licheniformis
Lineage: Bacteria; Bacillati; Bacillota; Bacilli; Caryophanales; Bacillaceae
Description: bacterial SSU rRNA
Rfam family: Bacterial small subunit ribosomal RNA
Source: RNAcentral
GAUACUGGCGGACGGGUGAGUAACACGUGGGUAACCUGCCUGUAAGACUGGGAUAACUCCGGGAACCGGGGCUAAUACCGGAUGCUUGAUUGAACCGCAUGGUUCAAUUAUAAAAGGUGGCUUUUAGCUACCACUUACAGAUGGACCCGCGGCGCAUUAGCUAGUUGGUGAGGUAACGGCUCACCAAGGCGACGAUGCGUAGCCGACCUGAGAGGGUGAUCGGCCACACUGGGACUGAGACACGGCCCAGACUCCUACGGGAGGCAGCAGUAGGGAAUCUUCCGCAAUGGACGAAAGUCUGACGGAGCAACGCCGCCGUGAGUGAUGAAGGUUUUCGGAUCGUAAAACUCUGUGUUAGGGAAGAACAAGUACCGUUCGAAUAGGGCGUACCUUGACGGUACCUAACCAGAAAGCCACGGCUAACUACGUGCCAGCAGCCGCGGUAAUACG